RNAcentral lists this ribosomal RNA (605 nucleotides) under uncultured fungus. Its description in RNAcentral is "eukaryotic LSU rRNA". The stretch from base 205 to 358 matches the Rfam family "5.8S ribosomal RNA". Lineage: Eukaryota; Fungi. The record is from RNAcentral.
AGUAAAAGUCGUAACAAGGUCUCCGUUGGUGGACCAGCGGAGGGAUCAUUACAGAGUUAUCCAACUCCCAAACCCAUGUGAACUUAUCUCUUUGUUGCCUCGGCGCAAGCUACCCGGGACCUCGCGCCCCGGGGGGCCCGCCGGCGGACAAACCAAACUCUGUUAUCUUCGUUGAUUAUCUGAGUGUCUUAUUUAAUAAGUCAAAACUUUCAACAACGGAUCUCUUGGUUCUGGCAUCGAUGAAGAACGCAGCGAAAUGCGAUAAGUAAUGUGAAUUGCAGAAUUCAGUGAAUCAUCGAAUCUUUGAACGCACAUUGCGCCCAUUAGUAUUCUAGUGGGCAUGCCUGUUCGAGCGUCAUUUCAACCCCUAAGCACAGCUUAUUGUUGGGACUCUACGGCUUCGUAGUUCCCCAAAGACAUUGGCGGAGUGGCAGCAGUCCUCUGAGCGUAGUAAUUCUUUAUCUCGCUUUUGUUAGGCGCUGCCCCCCCGGCCGUAAAACCCCCAAUUUUUUCUGGUUGACCUCGGAUCAGGUAGGAAUACCCGCUGAACUUAAGCAUAUCAAUAAGCGGAGGAAAAGAAACCAACAGGGAUUGCCCUAGUAACG